AUACAGAGGGUGCAAGCGUUAAUCGGAUUUACUGGGCGUAAAGCGCGCGUAGGUGGCUAAUUAAGUCAAAUGUGAAAUCCCCGAGCUUAACUUGGGAAUUGCAUUCGAUACUGGUUAGCUAGAGUAUGGGAGCGGAUGGUAGAAUUCCAGGUGAAGCGGUGAAAUGCGUAGAGAUCUGGAGGAAUACCGAUGGCGAAGGCAGCCAUCUGGCCUAAUACUGACACUGAGGGGCGAAAGCAUGGGGAGCAAACAGGAUUAGAUACCCUGGUAGUCCAUGCCGUAAACGAUGUCUACUAGCCGUUGGGGCCCUUGAGGCUUUAGUGGCGCAGCUAACGCGAUAAGUAGACCGCCUGGGGAGUACGGUCGCAAGACUAAAACUCAAAGGAAUGGACGGGG
This 396-nucleotide ribosomal RNA is filed under the name uncultured bacterium. Its description in RNAcentral is "partial 16S ribosomal RNA". It matches the Rfam family "Bacterial small subunit ribosomal RNA", at positions 523 to 918 of the family's 1533-position model. The record is from RNAcentral.